RNAcentral lists this ribosomal RNA (683 nucleotides) under uncultured bacterium. Its description in RNAcentral is "bacterial SSU rRNA". It matches the Rfam family "Bacterial small subunit ribosomal RNA", at positions 818 to 1502 of the family's 1533-position model. The record is from RNAcentral.
AGUUGUUGGUGGAGUAAAUCCAUGAGUAACGUAGCUAACGCGUGAAGUUGACCGCCUGGGGAGUACGGUUGCAAGAUUAAAACUCAAAUGAAUUGACGGGGGCCCGCACAAGCGGUGGAUUAUGUGGAUUAAUUCGAUGCAACGCGAAAAACCUUACCUGGCCUUGACAUGUACGGAACUUUCCAGAGAUGGAUUGGUGCCUUCGGGAACCGUAACACAGGUGCUGCAUGGCUGUCGUCAGCUCGUGUCGUGAGAUGUUGGGUUAAGUCCCGCAACGAGCGCAACCCUUGCCAAUAAUUGCCAUCAUUUAGUUGGGCACUUUAUUGGGACUGCCGGUGACAAACCGGAGGAAGGUGGGGAUGACGUCAAGUCCUCAUGGCCCUUAUGGCCAGGGCUUCACACGUAAUACAAUGGUCGGUACAGAGGGUAGCCAACCCGCGAGGGGGAGCCAAUCCCAGAAAGCCGAUCGUAGUCCGGAUUGUUCUCUGCAACUCGAGAGCAUGAAGUCGGAAUCGCUAGUAAUCGCGGAUCAGAAUGUCGCGGUGAAUACGUUCCCGGGCCUGGUACACACCGCCCGUCACACCAUGGGAGUGGGUUUUACCAGAAGUAGUUAGUCUAACCUUCGGGGGGACGAUUACCACGGUAGUAUUCAUGACUGGGGUGAAGUCGUAACAAGGUAGCCG